This 79-nucleotide microRNA precursor is filed under the name Ovis aries (sheep). Its description in RNAcentral is "miRNA (ENSOARG00000024655.1)". Lineage: Eukaryota; Metazoa; Chordata; Mammalia; Artiodactyla; Bovidae. The record is from RNAcentral.
UGGGUUGGCAAAAAAGUUCAUUUGGGUUUUUCUGUAACAGCGAAUGGAAAAACCCAGAUGAACUUUUUGGCCAAUCCAA